CCUAUCAGGUAGUUGGCGGGGUAACGGCCCACCAAGCCGAAGACGGGUAGCGGGUGUGAGAGCACGACCCGCCGCAUCGGGACUGAGACACUGCCCGGACUCCUACGGGAGGCUGCAGUAACGAAUCUUCCGCAAUGGGCGAAAGCCUGACGGAGCAAUGCCGCGUGUGGGAUGAAGCGUCUACGACGUGUAAACCACUGUCAGGGUCUAGGAACAAUGACCAGACCCAGAGGAAGGGCCGGCUAACUCUGUGCCAGCAGCCGCGGUAAUACAGAGGGCCCGAGCGUUAAUCGGAAUCACUGGGCUUAAAGCGUACGCAGGCGGCCCUGAAGGCGUCGUGUGAAAUCCCUCGGCUCAACCGGGGAACUGCACGGCGAACCACAGGGCUUGAGGCAGGUAGGGGUCAGUGGAACCAUGAGUGGAGCGGUGAAAUGCGUAGAUAUUCAUGGGAACGCCAAUGGCGAAGGCAGCUGACUGGGCCUGUUCUGACGCUCAUGUACGAAAGCGUGGGGAGCAAACAGGAUUAGAUACCCUGGUAGUCCACGCCGUAAACGAUGCACACUAGAUCGGGGGAGCUCUCACGCUCUCCCGGUCGAAGGUAAACUGAUUAGUGUGCCGCCUGGGGAGUACGGUCGCAAGGCUAAAACUCAAAGGAAUUGACGGGGGCUCAUACAAGCGGUGGAGCAUGUUGCUUAAUUCGAGGCAACGCGAAGAACCUUACCUAGGCUUGACAUGCACGGAUUAACCUUUCGAAAGAUAGGCCACGCCCUUUGGGUGGAACGUGCACAGGUGCUGCAUGGCUGUCGUCAGCUCGUGCUGUGAAGUGUCGGGUUAAGUCCCUUAACGAGCGCAACCCCUAUCGUUAGUUACUAACGCGUCAUGGCGAGGACUCUAACGAGACUGCCGGUGUCAAACCGGAGGAAGGCGGGGAUGACGUCAAGUCCUCAUGGCCCUUACGCCUAGGGUUGCAAACGUGCUACAAUGGUGCGGACAGAGCGACGCGAGGCCGCAAGGCGGAGCAAAUCGCAAAAACCGUACCCCAGUUCGGAUUGUGGGCUGAAAUUCGCCCACAUGAAGCCGGAAUCGCUAGUAAUCGGAGAUCAGCUACGCUCCGGUGAAUACGUUCCUGAGCCUU
RNAcentral lists this ribosomal RNA (1135 nucleotides) under uncultured bacterium. Its description in RNAcentral is "bacterial SSU rRNA". It matches the Rfam family "Bacterial small subunit ribosomal RNA", at positions 237 to 1382 of the family's 1533-position model. The record is from RNAcentral.